Homalodisca vitripennis (glassy-winged sharpshooter) is the source of this 3051-nucleotide long non-coding RNA. RefSeq lists it as uncharacterized. Lineage: Eukaryota; Metazoa; Arthropoda; Insecta; Hemiptera; Cicadellidae. The transcript has 2 exons. The record is from RefSeq and is a predicted model, not a curated record.
AACUUAUUACUUCCACAUAUUUAGAAGGAAAAAGGGAAUCUUUUGAUUGAACAUCGAUAUUAAAUAUUAAGUCUUAAUGACACAUAAUGGAGAGGAACUAAAAAUUAAUUAUCGUGACCGGUUUAGGCAGUGGCCAAACCUUAUUUUUGUCAACCAUUAAGGGUGACAACUGCCUAGACUUUUAAUGAGUGAAAUAAUAAACGGUCUAAUUUUUUUAUACAUGUUAUAUGUGUUUUUUUCGUUGAAGAAUAACAUCCUGCAUUUAACAAAAGUGUUAUUUCAAAUGAAAUGUUUAUAUAGAUACGCAAGUUCAAAAUCUUAUUUAUGGUCGGAUUAGUACCUGAUGGUAAUAAGAUCUAAUUUAUGCCUAGUUGCAUAAUGUAAAUUAAAAGUAUUAUUAGUAUACAAUCUAAAAUAUACUUAACAAAGAGGCACAAGUUACACAUAAAUAAACAUUUGUAUUAUAGAAAUAUUGAAAAACCUUCAUCUAAGCUUCUAUUUGAUUACUAUAGAAGUCAACCGACAACUAACGUAUCCUCAGUUCCCAAGACGGCGCGACAUUCAAAUUUAGUAGUUCCAUUAAAAACAGUUACAGUGUGUUGAAAUGGUGAGAUACGGCUUAGCAUUAUUGGCAAUUAUCCAAGAUAAAGCGAUCGUCUGGGAUUGAGCAAUCAGUGACUCCGCUGUAAAUUAGAUUCUGUGCCGUAAUGAGGGCUUUACUCUGAUACUGUCUAGCCGAUUAACACAAUCUCUCACUAACUCUCCCAGUGUCAUCUCGCUCUCUACUAAAACUGUGAUGUCAAAGUUAUGUGGAAGCGAAAACCUGCGGUUUAACAUCCUUAGGAUUUCAUAGGCAAGGAUUUCACUGGAAGACGGCGAAGUAAUAAAUUUCAUAGUUGUGCAAGGAUGAAACUAUUAACGAAAAUUUUAUGGUAUAUUUUAGUUUUACUCAUAACUAUGAGUAUGUAAUUGAUUUCGUUUUAGUAUAGAAUGUAACACGUUUGCGUGAAUUUAUUUCAGUAAAUAUUAUUUACAUCCAUGUCAAAAUACCUAUUGAAUUUCACUUACAAUUUUAUAUGAAGGGAAAACACACAAAUCAAAUUAGGUCUAUAACGCAUAACAAAAACUUGUUGGUGAGAAAUUAUUAUAAUACUAUGAAAAUGCAGAUGCAUAAAGAGCAUUGCUGUUAAUAUCAACAAUAGACGAAAAUAUAUUAAAGUAUGUAAUUGGCUAAUGAUAUUCGCUAAUAUUGUUUGAUUAAUUCAAAACAGUAACCGACCCUAUCCAAGGCAUAGCUCCUGUGUAACUAACUUGAAUCUGGUUUGAUUUUUGUUGAAUGUUUCAUAAUUGCUAAAUAUGCUUGUUAUCCAUUAAUAACGAUUGUAUAUACAUACACACAUGUUCCAGGGCCAAUGUGUAUUCAUGUGAGUCCAUGCCACAUAUGCCAAUGAGCAGAUAAUUCCAAUAAUAAAGAAGUUCGGUUGGCGAUUUUUUCUUUGUCAGAAUGUUCUCGUAAACUAAAAGUUACAUUUAUAAUUGUAUAAACCAGUCUAUGUAUUAAACCUUCGUCCCCAAUAUAUAGCACCAAUAUUCCUAGUCGAGCUAUCGAAUUAUUAUGAGACCUAGCCUGAUUUGUUGUAUUUCACACAGACUUGUCAGAAGUUAAAACAAAACUGCACUCUCACUGUCCUGAUGAAGAUAUUAUAGUUUAAAUUAAAGGUUAUUAAUGUUGCGAAUUCUAUUAAAAUACAACACAUUAAUUAAACUUACCUGUACUCACCUAUCUCUAAUUUAGCAUAAUUACUUCUACAACGAAAGUUAUUUUGUUACAAAAUUAUAGGUUUUAAAUAAGAUUGAACGGCACAGGACAGAUUUUCUUCGGUUAAAGAAAGAACGUGACAAAAUAAUACGGUAGAUUUGAGGCUGGAAGAAGACAAUGGGUUCAUUCGUUAGGCCCGAGGCUGAGGGCCGGGACCGGCGUUAUCAAUUGAAGGAGAUCCCCGCGGCUCAGAUGGACAUCGCCCCUGGACAAUUGAUAGCCGGAUUUAGGAAUUGACCACAUCCAUAGCUCGACUCGCUCCGCACCAUCAGAUAUGCUCUAUUGGCAUAUUGCUUAUUGCUGGGGUCAUUUAUGAUCCUCCCCGUGCAGAUAAGGAUAUUGGCCCAUUAUUUGUUAUUAUUCUCCCUUAUCCUAUGCUGUAAAGUGGACAAUCUCGAAGAUUCGAAUUACACGCCACAAACCACGUGUCAUCAAUCACCCGCUCCCGGGUCACCCUUGCUUGCCAUGGUUUUGCAACGCUACUGGAUGUGUUUCCUUUGUCCAUGCAGACUAUUGUUAUUCACAUGUAAAUUCAGGCCAUACAGUCCUCCAAAAGGAAAUUUCUGUUUUAGUUCUCGUUUUUCAGCAAACAGAUUCUCUAUUUACAUUACAUAAAUAUUUAGGAUAGUAAUUCUCAGUAAUAAGUUGCCGUUUCAGUAAUUUUGAAAUGCAACUUGUAGUUUUGCGUAAAUACGAAGGUAUAUUUGUCGUUUACUAAUAUCCAUAAAUAACAUCAAUAUUAAUUAUCUAAGUGUUGGAUAAAUCCUUAAAUCCAGACAAAGUCAAAAUAUUUUUUUAAAUUUAUUUAGUGUACAUUGUAAAUUGGUUUACCAUCGAGUGGAAUUCCUUUACCAACCUAAGUUAUUCUCUACUGUUGCUGUCUUCUGUUAAAAUAUAUAAAAUACACCAUCUUGUAUACUGGAUUUUUCACUUGGUAACUCUGUGGUUAGAGGCCAUGUCUGCCUGUGAGUCAUCUUAAACGACCUAAACAUUCAACCAUUUAGUACAUGGAAGUAGUGCUACGGUUUUAACUUCUAAAAAAUUUAAUAUUUACGUUGGGUAAAACUUAAUGUUGUUUUACGGGGUUUUGAGGAUAGGUUAAAUGCGAAUAUCAUUUAGACUGCUGGAAGAUCUAAUAUAUUCCUGAUAUUGAAGGAAUUAGAGGUUUGAUAAUUAAAUGCGGAACUGUAUCUUAUUCAUAAAUGAAGGAAUAAAAUGAAAAUAAAAAGAGA